RNAcentral lists this long non-coding RNA (685 nucleotides) under Elaeis guineensis (African oil palm). RNAcentral describes it as "long non-coding RNA (EGUI_LNC044789)". Lineage: Eukaryota; Viridiplantae; Streptophyta; Magnoliopsida; Arecales; Arecaceae. The record is from RNAcentral.
GGCUCCAGCAGCUGGAUUUCUACAACGGCCGAUCGCCUCCGGAUUCCUCAGACUCCUCCAGUAGACGAGCCUCCCUAACACCAUCCGAAGUCCACCACCAACCGACCUUCCACCAGAUUCCUCAUGAAAUCGGACUCCUCUGGCGGAUAAUCCCAUAUGGACUUUCCUAGCAAUUGGACUCCUAUCAGACUUCGCCAAUAGAAAGUCUUCAUCCGAGUCUCUACAACAGAUGGUUCUCACCUGUAGCCUCAGCACUCAAGGCCUCCGACAAUAGUAGACUCGUCAGCGACCUCGAAAACAUCCGAGCUUCUCCUAGAUCGACGAGACAGAGAGUCAUGCCGCUCCAUCAGACAUCCCAGCCGAGCUUCAGCUGACAGAUCUGAACUCUCUGGCAAGCCAUGAUGAGGGCCUCUACCCUGCUCCACUCUUUACAAUGGAUUCCACGCGGCUCCACUACUCUCUGACAAGCCAUGACGAGGGCCGCUACCCUGCUCCACUCUCUGCAACGGAUUCCACGCAGCUCCACCACUCUGUGGCAAGCCACAACGAGGGCUGCUACCCUGUUCCACUCUCUGAUAAGUCACGACAACAGACACCACUCUCUGUAACAAACUCCACGUGGCCCUGAACGGCCCUCGAUGCCACUGCUCUCCAUAACAAACUCCACAUGGCCCUGAACGGCCCC